AUGUGAUCACUGCUUAAAGGAUGGUGUAUCAGGAUACAGUGAAGAAAUUCAUGGUUGCAGCUAAAUUACGCUCAGUUAAGAGGGGAUGUGUACAUUUAAGACUGAACUCUCUUCCAGGCUCUGAGGAAAAGUUUGGUCUUAUCCCAAAACAGCUUCAUUCUAGUCAAAACCAGUGGUGAGUGAGAGCAAAGAAGCAUUGCUAAGCACAGUUUGCACACGGGUAACAGCAAAACAAAGAAAUGAACUUGCCUGAGAUGACACAGGAAGGCAGAGACAGAGCUGACAUUAUGGUGACAGCUGCCUUACCAGCAAUCUGAAAUGGAUGGAAUGCAAGUGUCAAGGACAUCAUGGACACAAAAGUCAGCAAAACUGAAGAGAUUUCACUUCCUCCAGAGUAUUUACUGAUUUGUCAGCUAUCUUCAUCAGACCCAGAAAUGCAGCUGUGCUACCCUCCCUCUGAGAAGGAAAUAAGGUCCUGAUCCACCCUCAGAAUCUGAAGACAGCUGCCCUACCAUCAAUGCCCAGAGGUUACAAAGCAGAAGCAGAAAUGUGUGGACCAAAAACCUCAGGGACAGACCACCAAGGAAAGUGCAGGUUCAGCCCCCAUCCUUGUCCCCUCUUGAAAUAAAAGUUGUAAGAUCUUGUACAGCAUCAGAGUAAUGUUGAAUAAAAUGUCGUGGCAAAUAUUUCUGCUCUCCAAUAAAAUUAAGCUUAAAAACUGUCAUAACUUUCUUGUGAAGACAUUGAGUAUUUCAGUAAGACAACAUUUGUUAAAGGUCAAACCAUUUUGUCUGCCAUUUAAAAAAAAAGUCUUUUGGUUCUGACUGACACUUGCCCCAUUAUUUACCUGUAGUGUUGUGGGGGUCUUUCACUGUUUUCUUUGUUUGUUUAAUAUUCCUCAAAUUAACCCUGAUUAAGUAUUUCAAAACUUCUUAUUUAAUAGGAUAAGAAACCUCCCACCAAAAAAGAAAUCAUUUCAGGUCAAUGUGAAUGAGAUAUUUUUUCAGUCAGUCAACUGAAAAAUCAAUUAUUCCAACAGGCACUGCUGUGAGGAGCUCAAGGUCAAUGUGAGACCAAGAGGCAAAUUGGGAAAGAAGAGCUGACUGAUCCUGCCGUAACACUUUUCAAUAUAGUGCCACUCAUCUUUUUCCAACAUGUUCGCUAUUAAGAUUUCCAGCUGUCACAUCUCUUGCUAAGGCUUAUGGAAAGAAGGAAAUAAAAAAAUAACUAAAACUACUCAAGGAAGAAGAAAGCAGUUCCACUUUUGCAGCUGGAAACUGAGAAAGAUGUAAAUAUAUUUUUAUAAUUUGGUUGAAGUAGAAUACAUUUAGAGAAACCAUCCUAUUAAUGCCCCCUCCAAACCCAGGUAGAGCUGGCAGGGGAGGAGGGACAAUAAAAUACUUUUCCUAGAAUCCAGAUACAAAUGCUAUGACCAGAGAAGUCCCAGUUGUUAUUUUCUGUGAUUCUUAAAAUACCAAUUCAUUUCUCAUUUCAGUACCUUUAUUUACAAUCUCUGCUUACUCUGAAAUCAAUAUUUUAUUCUCUGAAUGCUACAUUUUUAUCCAUACUUAAAUACUUCUUCAGAUGCUUAACUUUCCCCUGCUUCUUUUUUUUUUUUUUUUAUCUUUUUUACUAUGUCUG
This 1641-nucleotide long non-coding RNA is filed under the name Gallus gallus (chicken). Lineage: Eukaryota; Metazoa; Chordata; Aves; Galliformes; Phasianidae. The record is from RNAcentral.